RNAcentral lists this ribosomal RNA (1710 nucleotides) under beach sand metagenome. RNAcentral's name for it is "bacterial LSU rRNA". It matches the Rfam family "Bacterial large subunit ribosomal RNA", at positions 586 to 2294 of the family's 2925-position model. The record is from RNAcentral.
AUGAGCCCUGACGGCGUACCUUUUGUAUAAUGGGUCAUCGACUUGGUCUGUCCAGCAAGCUUAAGCCGUUAGGUGUAGGCGCAGCGAAAGCGAGUCUUAAUAGGGCGUCGAGUUCGUGGGAUCAGACCCGAAACCGAGUGAUCUAGGCAUGGCCAGGUUGAAGGUGCGGUAACACGCACUGGAGGACCGAACCCACAUCUGUUGAAAAAGAUCGGGAUGAGCUGUGCCUAGGGGUGAAAGGCCAAUCAAACUCGGAGAUAGCUGGUUCUCUGCGAAAUCUAUUUAGGUAGAGCGUCGUACGAAUACCCCCGGGGGUAGAGCACUGGAUGGGUAAUGGGGCCCCACAGGCUUACUGAUCCUAACCAAACUCCGAAUACCGGGGAGUACUAUACGGCAGACACACUGCGGAUGCUAACGUCCGUAGUGGAGAGGGAAACAACCCUGACCUACAGCUAAGGCCCCCAAUUCAUGGCUAAGUGGGAAAGCAGGUGGGACGACCAAAACAACCAGGAGGUUGGCUUAGAAGCAGCCAUCCUUUAAAGAUAGCGUAACAGCUCACUGGUCUAAUCAAGUUGUCCUGCGGCGAAGAUGUAACGGGGCUCAAGCCAUGAGCCGAAGCUUAGGAUGCGUUUAUCGCAUGGUAGCAGAGCGUAGUGUGACAUAAGACUCUGUCUUAUACUGAUCUUUUGUACAGCCAUCGACAGUUAUCUGGGUGCUCGCACUCAAGUAGCCGGAGGCGGUAGUGCGUAAAAGAGGUCAGAUAAGACGCAGUCUUUUCUGUGAAGCCGGCCUGUGAGGGAUCCGGUGGAGAGAUCACUAGUGAGAAUGAUGACAUGAGUAGCGACAAAGAGUGUGAGAGACACUCUCGCCGAAAGUCCAAGGGUUCCUGCUUAAAGCUAAUCUGAGCAGGGUAAGCCGACCCCUAAGGCGAGGCCGAAAGGCGUAGUCGAUGGGAACCAGGUUAAUAUUCCUGGGCCAGGAGGAUGUGACGGAUUGUGAAGGUUGUUUGCCCUUAUCGGAUUGGGCGGGCCGCUGAUCAGUUCCUGGAAAUAGCCCUCCGUGAGAUCGUACCCUAAACCGACACAGGUGGACUGGUAGAGAAUACCAAGGCGCUUGAGAGAACGAUGUUGAAGGAACUCGGCAAAAUACCUCCGUAAGUUCGCGAGAAGGAGGCCCAGUUUCAACGCAAGUUUUGGCUGGGGGCACAAACCAGGGGGUGGCGACUGUUUAUUAAAAACACAGGGCUCUGCGAAGUCGCAAGACGACGUAUAGGGUCUGACGCCUGCCCGGUGCCGGAAGGUUAAGAGGAGAGGUGCAAGCUUUGAAUCGAAGCCCCGGUAAACGGCGGCCGUAACUAUAACGGUCCUAAGGUAGCGAAAUUCCUUGUCGGGUAAGUUCCGACCUGCACGAAUGGCGUAACGACUUCCCCGCUGUCUCCAGCAUCGACUCAGCGAAAUUGAAUUCUCCGUGAAGAUGCGGAGUACCCGUGGUUAGACGGAAAGACCCCGUGCACCUUUACUACAACUUUGCAGUGGUAUCAGAGAUGAAAUGUGUAGGAUAGGUGGGAGGCUUCGAAGCGAGGGCGCCAGUUCUCGUGGAGCCAGCCUUGAAAUACCACCCUUUUUAUCUUUGAUAUCUAACCGCGGCCCGUGAAUCCGGGUCCGGGACCCUGCAUGGUGGGUAGUUUGACUGGGGCGGUCGCCUCCCAAA